UCUUACUGUAAGAAGGGCUGCGGUUUUUGGCUAACCACAACCCUAUUAAUGAAGGGCUGCGUUUUUGGGCUAACCGUAGUCCUUGAGCCUUUUAAAAAAUCUAUUCGCCCUAAACUCUCUACGUUUCCCCCUCGUAUCACCCGCAUAGCUGAGACUUGAGAGCCUUUCUCUCUCUCUCUCCUCCCAUCUCCUCUCUUUAAUGGAUGGGAGAUACGACGAUGAUGUAGCACUCUCCGAAUUUCUUGCUCCUUUAGUGGAUUAUACUCCCACCAUUCUUGAUGAAUUGGUGGAACAUUACCUCGCCAAAAGCGGUUUCCAAUGUCCUGAUGUUCGAUUGUAGGUGGUGAUGUUUUAUUCGUGAGAUUUUACGGCUGAGUUGAGGGCAAGGAAAUGGUGUCGAAGGAAUUGUUGACAGAAGUAAUGUAACCGUUCUCAUUAUCUAGGUUCUUCAAUUACAUCAGAUUCGUAAAUUGUAUGUCAUCUUCAUCUCCGAAUUUGUUCUCAAUUUGAAUGAAAUUCAGGGGGGUAAUGAUCUCAAGCGCAUUCGCUUCAGAUCCUCCUGCAGUAUGGUGCAAAUGUAAAGACUUCGGACACUAGAGGUCAGCCACCGCUUCAUCGAUGUAUUCUGAAAGGAAAGGCAUCAGCAGCUAGGUUACCUCUCACAAGCUUAAGCAAGUUUAUCUCCACCUAUGUCCUAAGAGCAUGUACAAUGGUGAGCCACAAUGAUGGACGUACAUGUCGCCAAUGUGAUAGGUUGUUGUCGCAACUCCUAAAAUGGUGGCAGGUUCUUAAAAUAGUGGCAAGUGGAGGAAGAGGCAAACAGUAAGUCAGUGGUCAAAUCAGUUUGCAAAUUUUUGAGAAGAUCAAUGAAAAUCCCUAAAAAGUAGAAACUAACAAGUUGCAGAACAUUUGACAUAUUUUGCUUAAACCGUCAUUCUUUCUAUUAUAAAUACUCCUAUUGUAAACCAUACAAAAUAGAUGAAUUUUCUCCUACUCAAUCAUAACCAUAAAAACUCUAUUUCAACUCAUUCUCUCCAUCAUUUUUUUUUUUGAAAGAGAAAAUUUCAUUAAUUGAAGGUCAAACGACAUCUACAAUAGAUAUUAUAGAAAAAUAAGAUACAAUUAAAUAAGGUUAAAUCAAAUUCAUCUUCAAAGAAACUAGAAUGAACCAGAUCGAGGAAUACAACGCAGCCCCCUUGUAUUUGCUGAAUCAAACAGCUAUUGAGAAAGUCUAUCAUUCUGACAUAGUUUGGGAAGAUCAUUCUUGAUCGAGCCAUGUUAACCGCAUCCGAGAUUCCAAUACCUCCAUGUUGAAUCUUAAACUUCAGCCAAUAAGAACAAUUUCUCAUACCUAAAAACAACAAAACCAUAUUCACAACUCCUAUAGGGGAGAAGGAGAUCUGCACAACAGAGACUAAAAACCCCAUAAUAGGGUUUGAAGAAAUCUCAUAAAGAGAUACUAAUUUAUUCAACAAGACAAGAAAAUAAAAUAAAAACUGAAAAAUAAAAGGAAAAAAGGGCCUUACCAUGGAUGAAAUCAUCCAUGGUAGCCCCUAACUGAUGAAGAAUGAGUAGGGGAGGCUAGGGUUUUAGAGAGAAAAAGAUAGAGGGGGAGGGUUUUUUUUUUUUUUUUAAUUUGCCAUCUCUUUCUCUCUAAAACUUAACUUGCUCAUCCUUCUAAUCAACCAAAACUAGUGUACUUGCAGUGCAAAUUGAUAUUAUUAUAGUGGAUUUACUGAACACCGAUUCCCAUGUGGUUUUUUCCUCAUUUAGAGGGUUUAGACAUAAAAUUGCCUUGUUUCAUUUCUUUAUCUUUGUACUAUACUUCGCCCAUUUAUUUUGCCAAGUAUUGCAACUUAAUUAUCAUACCCCUCUUCAAGCAAAUUAGCCUUAGUGUGAAAUUUGUCCAAAACAUCACUUUCUCUCCUCUUUAUCCAAUAUCGGACAACUCACAUGUUUGAUGUGAACAAGUAUGGAGUUCAACAAGUAUUUUUUAGUUCCAAUGCAAAUUCCGGACUUGUUAGUACUAGUAUUUCUAGGUCCCAACUUCUUAAUAGAGCACAUAUACAAUAUAGCUCUAGCAGUUUCGGGUAUGAAAUAUGGGUCUAUUACAAAAUUGCUUGGUGCUUGACAAAAAACUGAAAAAGGGAGUAUGGUAUCUUGCCAAAAACUUCCAAUAAUACUUACUUCCUCCGUUUCAUAUGACAUGUAACACUUGUACUUUUUAUAUUACUUACAAAUUUCACUUUCACUUUGUGAUGGGUUGGACCUACAAAAUCAUAGGCGUAGAUACAUUAGCCGGAUAAUCAACAUGUAGGACUAAUUAUUGGAGAAUAUUUUUAAAUAAGAGCGUUAGAUACCUCUACGGCUCUACGUGAAGAAAUGUGUAAUGGAGAAAUUUAGAUAAAAAUCAGUACUACUAAAAUAUAAGUAUAUUGAAGUAGUACAUAUUGGAAUUCUUAAGUACGGUAGUGGGACUCCAAUACCAAGCCACUAGCCACCUAAGUAACUUCUCUAAUCACCAAGUAGUAUUUGGUUUAAUGAUUUAGUUUGUAUCUCACAACCUUGAGGUUGUGGGAUCACACUCUACUAGAGGCACUUUAAGGGUGGGGUUUCUCCUUACUAGGGAUGGAAAUGGAUCGGAUUCGGGGCGGGUGGAACAUCACCCGCAUCCACCACCCGCAAUUGUUUACUCCACCCGCAUCCAUCCAUCCGUCAUCCAUCGGGUGAAACGGGUGGAUCGGGUGCUAAACGGGUGAUGAUAUCUAGUAUAUUUUUAAAAGAAAUUAGUGACAUAAUAUAAAAUAAUUAUAUCAAAAACAUAAAAUUUAAGUAAUUUACAUGUAAAAUUUAAUAAUUGGGUAAUUAGUUGGGUGUUAAACGGGUGAUGUAUGAAAAAAUUCUCACCCACCACCCACUUUCCAUCCAUUUAAAUUCGGGUUUUCAUCCAUUUAAAAUACCGGGUUAAGCGGGUGAUGGAUCAUCCAUCACCCAUUUCCAUCCUUACUCCUUACCAUUCCCACUAUUUCUACAGGACCUUGCCUCUAAACCCGGACUAGGUUGACCUGUGUAAGGUUCCUAUCCGAUUAGGAUGCCUUCGUCUUACCUUAAUAAAAAAAAUCUCUAAAGAUUUAUACCAUGUAGAGAAAUAAUAUGCUACAUCCAAGAAAUUUUGCUAAAAUCUAUCAUACGAAUAGAUGAAUAACCGAAAUGUAAUAUGAGUAAUUGAGUAUAUGGCUAUUCCUGAUUCUAACUUGCUAAAUUUAAAUUUCACAUAGGCCUCGUAUACGAAAAUAUAAACUUAUUACUAGAUCCAAUUUUGAGAACAAAAAGAGGGUGUUGGGCAAAAAGAGAGUUUUGGGCAAAAAGAAAGUUGAUGACUAGUUCAAAACUCUAUGAGUGUGUUUGAUAAAGAGCGUUUUGGGGUGAAAACUCUCAAAAUGAAAAUGCUUCUCUUUGGAGUUUUUCCUUUAGAGGAUUAGGCGAGAGAAUGUGUAAAUGACUUUUUUGCCCAUAAUUAUAAUACUAAUAUUCCUGUUUAUAUGUCCAUAAAUGUCACUUUAUAAAAACAAAAGGUAAUCAACUUUUAGCAAUCAGGUUAGUUUUACCAAACACAUUUAUAUCAAAAAUUAACCAAAUCUACGGUCAAAUUUGAUAAACAAAAAGAUAAAACUCUAGCCGCUAAACCUAAAUUCUAUUUGUCAAAUAAGGUCAAACUUUUUUCAAUCCUAGUUUUUGAGAUAUAUGUAAAAUAUGAAAUAGCAAUUUAGCCUCAAAGGCCAAAGCCACAAAGAAACGCUUUAGAAUAGAGCCAAAAAUGAGUUACGGCCCACAACAAACCCAUAAUUCAGGAAUCAAAAUCCACCAAAAGAUUACAAAAAUAAAAAGGCAAGAAAUUUGUGGCUAAUAUCAAAUGAUUCAAAAAAGACAUUAUAAAUGGAGACAAAAGAGUGCAAACUUUGGUACUAUUACUCUGCCAAAUCCCAUAACCACAACAUCAAUGGUGUCAACUCAAGCACACAUAUACGUAAUACUUCCAACAUUAUGUUUUGUCUGUUAUAACUCCGUAAGCUGCUGCUCGUUCUCUUCAAAUGAUUUUAUGCAGCCUUCACACUUUGGUCGACUUACAAUUAUUUUUCCAACUUCUAUAUUUCGAUCAAACUGGAUCGGAUAUCCGAUUUUUGGAGUCACAGAAAACACGAUUGAUUUUUGGUCCUAAUUAGUUGCAUAUUUUUUAUCCGUGAUACCUAAUAUAAUUGAAUCGAAACUGGAUUAUUUGUAUUCAAUUUGGGUGAAAAAAAUUAUUAUUGAUUUGUCAAAUUAACCCAUUGAAAUUUCUUAUUAAUUAUUCAUUCUUUGCUUUUGAUAAUUUUAUGCAAGGCGUUAGGGUAAAUUUGCCAAUUGGCUCAUCAAUUUGAUAUGAAAAACUCUUAAUUGGACAAUCUCUUAGAGAAUAAGAUGAUUAUGUAGAUUGUAGUAGUAGAACUAUGACUAUAUAUUAACCUAAAAGAUA
RNA transcript from Beta vulgaris subsp. vulgaris (sugar beet), 4513 nucleotides. It is a transcript of the gene named ADP-ribosylation factor GTPase-activating protein AGD3-like, with no coding region annotated. NCBI's taxonomy places the organism in Eukaryota, Viridiplantae, Streptophyta, Magnoliopsida, Caryophyllales, Amaranthaceae. The transcript has 7 exons. The record is from RefSeq and is a predicted model, not a curated record.